Molecule: ribosomal RNA, 871 nt
Filed under: Apiospora arundinis
Lineage: Eukaryota; Fungi; Ascomycota; Sordariomycetes; Amphisphaeriales; Apiosporaceae
Description: partial large subunit ribosomal RNA
Rfam family: Eukaryotic large subunit ribosomal RNA
Source: RNAcentral
UUCAAAAGCGGAGGAAAAGAAACCAACAGGGAUUCCCCUAGUAACGGCGAGUGAAGCGGGAACAGCUCAAAUUUGAAAUCUGGCCCUUGGGUCCGAGUUGUAAUUUGCAGAGGAUGCUUUUGGUGCGGUGCCUUCCGAGUUCCCUGGAACGGGACGCCUUAGAGGGUGAGAGCCCCGUACGGUUGGCCACCAAGCCUGUGUAAAGCUCCUUCGACGAGUCGAGUAGUUUGGGAAUGCUGCUCAAAAUGGGAGGUAUAUUUCUUCUAAAGCUAAAUACUGGCCAGAGACCGAUAGCGCACAAGUAGAGUGAUCGAAAGAUGAAAAGCACUUUGAAAAGAGGGUUAAAUAGCACGUGAAAUUGUUGAAAGGGAAGGAUUUAUGACCAGACUUUUUCUGGGGGGAUCAUCCGGUGUUCUCACCGGUGCACUUCCCCCAGUUGAGGCCAGCAUCGGUUUCUGCCGGGGGAUAAAAGCUUUGGGAAUGUGGCUCCUUCGGGAGUGUUAUAGCCCGUUGCAUAAUACCCUGGCGGGGACCGAGGUUCGCGCAUUGCAAGGAUGCUGGCGUAAUGGUUAUUAAUCACCCGUCUUGAAACACGGACCAAGGAGUCGAACAUUUGUGCGAGUGUUUGGGUGUUAAACCCUCACGCGUAAUGAAAGUGAACGGAGGUGAGAGCCUUUAGGGGUGCAUCAUCGACCGAUCCUGAUGUCUUCGGAUGGAUUUGAGUAAGAGCAUAACUGUUCGGACCCGAAAGAUGGUGAACUAUGCGUGGAUAGGGUGAAGCCAGAGGAAACUCUGGUGGAGGCUCGCAGCGGUUCUGACGUGCAAAUCGAUCGUCAAAUCUGCGCAUGGGGGGCGAAAGACUAAUCGAACC